This 861-nucleotide ribosomal RNA is filed under the name Alteromonadales bacterium. Its description in RNAcentral is "bacterial SSU rRNA". It matches the Rfam family "Bacterial small subunit ribosomal RNA", at positions 624 to 1484 of the family's 1533-position model. The record is from RNAcentral. Lineage: Bacteria; Pseudomonadati; Pseudomonadota; Gammaproteobacteria; Alteromonadales.
CAUUUGAAACUGGUUGACUAGAGUUUUGUAGAGGGUGGUAGAAUUUCAGGUGUAGCGGUGAAAUGCGUAGAGAUCUGAAGGAAUACCAGUGGCGAAGGCGGCCACCUGGACAAAGACUGACACUGAGGCGCGAAGGCGUGGGGAGCAAACGGGAUUAGAUACCCCGGUAGUCCACGCAGUAAACGAUGUCUAUUAGAAGUUUGUGGCUAUAUGCCGUGGGUUUCAAAGCUAACGCAUUAAAUAGACCGCCUGGGGAGUACGGCCGCAAGGUUAAAACUCAAAUGAAUUGACGGGGGCCCGCACAAGCGGUGGAGCAUGUGGUUUAAUUCGAUGCAACGCGAAGAACCUUACCAUCCCUUGACAUCCAGAGAAUCACCUAGAGAUAGAUGAGUGCCUUCGGGAACUCUGAGACAGGUGCUGCAUGGCUGUCGUCAGCUCGUGUUGUGAAAUGUUGGGUUAAGUCCCGCAACGAGCGCAACCCUUAUCCUUAGUUGCCAGCACGUAAUGGUGGGAACUCUAGGGAGACUGCCGGUGAUAAACCGGAGGAAGGUGGGGACGACGUCAAGUCAUCAUGGCCCUUACGGGAUGGGCUACACACGUGCUACAAUGGCAAAUACAAAGGGUUGCUAACCUGCGAGGGUAUGCGAAUCUCAUAAAGUUUGUCGUAGUCCGGAUCGGAGUCUGCAACUCGACUCCGUGAAGUUGGAAUCGCUAGUAAUCGUGGAUCAGAAUGCCACGGUGAAUACGUUCCCGGGCCUUGUACACACCGCCCGUCACACCAUGGGAGUGGGCUGCACCAGAAGUCAUUAGCUUAACCUUCGGGAUGGCGAUGACCACGGUGUGGUUCAUGACUGGGGUGAA